This 492-nucleotide ribosomal RNA is filed under the name uncultured bacterium. Its description in RNAcentral is "partial 16S ribosomal RNA". It matches the Rfam family "Bacterial small subunit ribosomal RNA", at positions 29 to 507 of the family's 1533-position model. The record is from RNAcentral.
AGUGAACGCUGGCGGUAGGCCUAACACAUGCAAGUCGAACGGCAGCACAGUAAGAGCUUGCUCUUACGGGUGGCGAGUGGCGGACGGGUGAGGAAUACAUCGGAAUCUACUUUUUCGUGGGGGAUAACGUAGGGAGACUUACGCUAAUACCGCAUACGACCUACGGGUGAAAGCAGGGGAUCUUCGGACCUUGCGCGAUUGAAUGAGCCGAUGUCGGAUUAGCUAGUUGGCGGGGUAAAGGCCCACCAAGGCGACGAUCCGUAGCUGGUCUGAGAGGAUGAUCAGCCACACUGGAACUGAGACACGGUCCAGACUCCUACGGGAGGCAGCAGUGGGGAAUAUUGGACAAUGGGCGCAAGCCUGAUCCAGACAUACCGCGUGGGUGAAGAAGGCCUUCGGGUUGUAAAGCCCUUUUGUUGGGAAAGAAAAGCAGCAGGUUAAUACCCCGCUGUUCUGACGGUACCCAAAGAAUAAGCACCGGCUAACUUCGUG